AGUUCCAGUGGAGCCGUCCUUGAAAUACCACCCUGGUAAUGUUGAGGUUCUAACUCUGUCCCGUGAUCCGGGACGAGGACCGUGUCUGGUGGGUAGUUUGACUGGGGCGGUCUCCUCCUAAAGAGUAACGGAGGAGUACGAAGGUGCGCUCAGCGUGGUCGGAAAUCACGCGUAGAGUAUAAAGGCAAAAGCGCGCUUAACUGCGAGACCCACAAGUCGAGCAGGUACGAAAGUAGGUCUUAGUGAUCCGGUGGUUCUGUAUGGAAGGGCCAUCGCUCAACGGAUAAAAGGUACUCUGGGGAUAACAGGCUGAUACCGCCCAAGAGUUCAUAUCGACGGCGGUGUUUGGCACCUCGAUGUCGGCUCAUCUCAUCCUGGGGCUGAAGCAGGUCCCAAGGGUAUGGCUGUUCGCCAUUUAAAGAGGUACGCGAGCUGGGUUUAGAACGUCGUGAGACAGUUCGGUCCCUAUCUACCGUGGGCGCUGGAAAUUUGAGAGGAUCUGCUCCUAGUACGAGAGGACCAGAGUGGACGAACCUCUGGUGUACCGGUUGUGACGCCAGUCGCAUCGCCGGGUAGCUAUGUUCGGAAGGGAUAACCGCUGAAAGCAUCUAAGCGGGAAGCCUACCUCAAGAUAAGAUUUCCCUAGGACUUUAUGUCCUCUAAAGAGCCGUUCGAGACUAGGACGUUGAUAGGUUGGAUGUGGAAGCAUAGUGAUAUGUGAAGCUGACCAAUACUAAUUGCUCGUGAGGCUUGACUAUACAACACCCAAGCAGUUG
This 776-nucleotide ribosomal RNA is filed under the name Acinetobacter baumannii. Its description in RNAcentral is "bacterial LSU rRNA". It matches the Rfam family "Bacterial large subunit ribosomal RNA", at positions 2173 to 2925 of the family's 2925-position model. The record is from RNAcentral. Lineage: Bacteria; Pseudomonadati; Pseudomonadota; Gammaproteobacteria; Moraxellales; Moraxellaceae.